Apodemus sylvaticus (European woodmouse) is the source of this 143-nucleotide small nucleolar RNA. RefSeq annotates it as small nucleolar RNA SNORA48. Lineage: Eukaryota; Metazoa; Chordata; Mammalia; Rodentia; Muridae. The record is from RefSeq and is a predicted model, not a curated record. The transcript has a single exon.
CUCCUCUAGCAAUGGGCAAAGAGACACCUUCUUGGUAGUGUUGUUCACCUAUCAGAUAGAGGCAGAACAGGUAGCAAUCCUUUGUUUAUCCUAUCUUGAUGCCUGGCUUGCUGACCAAGCUGUUUUAUGUCUAAUACACAUAA